GCCUGCCUAAAAUUAAUCCACAACAACAAGCGCCAGGGUAUUACGAGUGCAAACUUAAAAUCCAAAGGAUUUGACGGUGUCCCACCCACCUAGAGGAGCCUGUUCUAUAAUCGAUAAUCCUCGAUAUACCUCACCAUUUCUUGCUACUCAGUCUGUAUACCUCCGUCGCAAGCUUACCAUUUGAAUGCAAAAAAGUAAGUUUAAUGAUCAUUCAUCAACACGUCAGGUCAAGGUGCAACCAAUGAAACGGGAAGCAAUGGGCUACAAUUUCUAUAAUAGAACACACGAAAUACUACAUGAAAAUUAGUCAUGAAGGCGGAUUUAGUAGUAAAAGAAGAAUAGCAUGCUUCUUUUAACAAGGCUCUGGGACGUGUACAAACCGCCCGUCACCCUCUUCAAUGAUACAUUUUAAUUCAUAAUCCAUAAAAACACACUAGAAGAGGCAAGUCGUAACAUGGUAAGUGUACUGGAAAGUGCACUUGGCAAAUCAAAAUGUAGCUUAAAUAAAGCGCCUCGCUUACACCGAAAAAAUAUCUGUUUAACCCAGAUCAUUUUGAG
RNAcentral lists this ribosomal RNA (558 nucleotides) under Guibemantis punctatus. RNAcentral describes it as "partial 12S ribosomal RNA". The stretch from base 1 to 495 matches the Rfam family "Bacterial small subunit ribosomal RNA", at positions 841 to 1533 of the family's 1533-position model. Lineage: Eukaryota; Metazoa; Chordata; Amphibia; Anura; Mantellidae. The record is from RNAcentral.